ACAGAGAGAGACUUAGAUGUUAGUCAGGGCUCAAACACAGCCCCCAUUAAGCCUGAUUGCCUUGCAAGCUGCCUGCCAGAUAGGAAGCAAUUUUGUGUGAUGACAAAAUUGUUAUCUGGCUGUUUCCUGGAGGGUUUAUCCCUCCACUGAGCAGGAUAAAUUCUCAGGGCACCUGUGGAAGGGACAUAUCUUGUGGACAGAGCCCGCAGCUCAGUUCCUAUGACUGAGAGCCCUGAUGAGGAACGCUUCCCAUCAGAGAAUUACUAGAAUCAAUCUCCAGGCCUGCUGUGGUUUGAAUUGUGUCCUCCCAAAAAGAUAUGUUGGUAUCUUAACCCCAGUCUCUCAGAUUGCGACCUUAUAGAGAUAAUCAAAUUAAAAUGAGGUCAACAGGGUAGACCCUAAUCCAAUAUGACUGAUAUCCUUGUAAAAGGGGUAAAUUGGGUCACAGACAGACACACAUAAAGGGAGGACAAUGUGAAGGGGCACAGGGAGAAGAGGGCCAUCUAUAAGCCAAGUGUUGAGAGCUGGGACAGAUCCUUCCCUCACGGCUCUCACCUUGAUUUGUCAACCCUGCUAACACCUGGUUUCAGACUUCAAGUCUCCAGAACUGUGCUAACUGUACUGUUGCUAAGCCACCCAGUUUGUGGUACUCUGUUACAAAACAAAUACAAGGCCUUCAAUCUCUCCUUUUCCAUUCUCUUCUCCUCGUAUUUACCCUUAUCAUACACCCCUUGAGGGGAAAGUACAUUUAGGUAGAAAUAAAACAUGGAGUCUCAGGGACAUGGAUGAGCCAGACCCCACAUAUCAUUCUUUGCCUCCCUGAGUCCUCCACCUGGGGCCACACCUCUGCCUGGAGCUAAGUUACCAACAGCCAGGAGCUCAAGGUCACUCCAAGUUACUGCCAUCCUAAACAGAAGAGCAGUUCACCCCAGUCCCUCUUCCAGAAAGUUCAGCCUGGAGACCCCCUCUAGAUACUGCAGGGUUUGCAAAGAUGAUCAAGAAGCAGUCACUUCCCUCAAGAUGCUUGCAGUUUGCCAUGGGGAAUAAGAUUCAUAUAAAAACCAUGACAUGGAAGCAACCUAAAUGUCCAUUGACAGAUGAACGGAUAAAGAAGAUAUGGUAUAUACAUAUGGAAUACUACUCAGCCAUAAAAAGAAUGAAAUACUGCCAUUUGCAGCAACAUGGAUGGACCUAGAGAUUACCAUACUAAGUAAAGAAGGACAUUGUUAAGAGAAUUGCCUGAUGGUCAAACUACAAGAUGUUCUUCUGGAAGGAGGAAGGAGUCUGGAGCUUCCAAGAGAAACACCCUCAUGCCAAGCCACAGGGUGGCUCAUGUGACUGUUGUAUGGACACAGAUCAUUCCCACCAAGGAUGCCCCCAAAUACACCUGUAGCUUCAGUUGUCCAGCUAGGUCACAAUAAAAGUGAGUUUUUAGGACUACAAUAUCCACUUUCCGCCCAAGUCAUUUUAGCCUCUAACCAUUGAACAAUCCAGCCCCUGCCUAUCCUUUCACUCCUUUUGACCCUGAAUGUCCUGUAAAUCAUUUAUUUAUUCAACACAUAUUUACUGA
Non-coding RNA from Kogia breviceps (pygmy sperm whale), 1570 nucleotides. NCBI's taxonomy places the organism in Eukaryota, Metazoa, Chordata, Mammalia, Artiodactyla, Physeteridae. The record is from RefSeq and is a predicted model, not a curated record.